UACGUAGGUGGCAAGCGUUGUCCGGAUUUACUGGGUGUAAAGGGCGUGUAGCCGGGCUGACAAGUCAGAUGUGAAAUUCCGGGGCUCAACCCCGGACCCGCAUUUGAAACUGUUGGUCUUGAGUAUCGGAGAGGCAGGCGGAAUUCCUAGUGUAGCGGUGAAAUGCGUAGAUAUUAGGAGGAACACCAGUGGCGAAGGCGGCCUGCUGGACGACAACUGACGGUGAGGCGCGAAAGCGUGGGGAGCAAACAGG
Molecule: ribosomal RNA, 253 nt
Filed under: uncultured bacterium
Lineage: Bacteria
Description: partial 16S ribosomal RNA
Rfam family: Bacterial small subunit ribosomal RNA
Source: RNAcentral